Polyodon spathula (Mississippi paddlefish) is the source of this 3407-nucleotide RNA transcript. It is a transcript of the gene named XK-related protein 6-like, with no coding region annotated. The transcript is spliced from 3 exons. NCBI's taxonomy places the organism in Eukaryota, Metazoa, Chordata, Actinopteri, Acipenseriformes, Polyodontidae. The record is from RefSeq and is a predicted model, not a curated record.
GGGAGCCUCAGAGAGCAAGAUGGCAGCAAAAUCUGAUGGAGUGGGGGUCGCUACCGGUUUCGCCCAACUGCACAACCUGGACGAAACGGUGGGGAACGGCGAAGGGGAUCCGGGGGAGAGCAGCUCCAUCCACAUCUGUCACUGCUGCAACACCUCGUCAUGUUACUGGGGCUGCCGAAGCGCUUGCCUGCGCUCUCUCCUGGGGAAGGGGAAGGAAGCUAGGCGGCAGCCGCCGCAGGAGGAGCGCCUCUGGCUGGACUGCCUGUGGAUCGUCCUGGCGCUGUUGGUCUUCUUUUGGGACGUGGGCACGGACCUGUGGCUAGCGGUCGACUACUAUUCCAAGCGCGACUACCUUUGGUUUGGGCUCACCCUCUUCUUUGUGCUCGUCCCCUCGGUGCUGGUGCAGAUCCUGAGCUUCAGGUGGUUUGUCCAGGAUUACACCGGUGGAGGCUUGGGGGCGGUGGAGGGGCUCAGUAGUCGGAGAAUCCCGGCUGCAAUGGGCGCUGCUGUUCAUGGCAGGGACAGGUGCUGUAGGAUCUCGGUGUGGAUCUGGCAGUCUGUCAUACACAUCCUGCAGAUGGGACAAGUAUGGAGUGUCCCUGGAGUUCUGGCAGACUGAGCCUGAAGGAUCCCUUAGGAAGUUAUUGGCUGGUGGGAUGUUGAGAUAAAUUGACUUCUCUGACUCCGAGACACCGGAACCACAGAGACCAGCAGCCUUUAAUUCCCUCAAUGCACUGGGCAAAUAAUUUUCUAGUGCUUACAGUAUGGGGGUAGAUAAUUGCCUUAAAUGCACUACACUGUGAUCUGUGAAAAAUGAGCUAUCCAGGAAAUCAGACAGAUUUGCUUCCUACCAUUUACAAUGCAAACCGAGGAGAAACCAUAUGGACCAAGAAAUCACUGCCAAGAUAACGGAAAUAAGGAAUUGUCCCAGACAAUUCAUGGUGUAAAGGUAUUCUAGGUGUAAAAAAAAAAAAAAAAAAAAAAAAAAACCUUAGCUGUUGCAUGCUGACAUACAACUGGUGUGUUAGAGAAUGGGUCAGAGGUAUAAUUAUAAUGGAGGUGGUUUCUACAAAGCCCAACACAGUGGUGCAGACAGGUGAUACUUAUUACUAUAAAACCAAAAUGAAAGCUCAGUGUGUUACAGUUCAGCUUAACAAGUAUUUCUAUUUUGUGCACUCAAUACAAACUGUAUUAAAAUAAACAUUAUUUUUGGGUGGUCUUGUUUUGAAUUUCCCUGUGUUGUAGGAAUAAAGGCAGAAAAUGCAUGUUUUGAAAAUGUCCUGCUUCAUGUAGUGUGUACAUAUUCAAUAGUGGACCAACACACCCCUUGAGAAUGAUUAAAGAUAUCAUAAAAGUAAAGGGAAGACAUUUGAAGCUACUAAUCCUUUACCAAGAACAUUGUAAAUAUAUCCUGAUGGUAGUUGGUAUCAGCAAAAGUCUGACAAAUAGUCCGUGGUGGGAUAUUGAUCAGCUUAAAGAUCUACUUUAAGGGAAUAUCCAAACACUACACUUAAAAGAUCCAAACACUACACAUAAAAGAUCCAAACACUACACAUAAAAGGCUUUGUGAAAUACCUCCAUGAUGCUACCUUUUGUGCAUUUUUAUUCAUUUAUACUGUAGGUCUCACAUAUGCGGUUUUGAAAGAAGCAUGUUACAGCUACACGUUCUGGUGUAAAAUCAUAUUGAAAAGGUAUUAUGGGAUGAGUCAAAAAACUGUACAAACGUUUUAAUUUUAAUACUGCUCACUUAAACCAAGGGAUUCGGUUCUGUCACCUGACACAUUUAGACUCGUCAGUUGCCAGCAGCUUGUAGCUCGGACACAAUAUAAUUGGUCGUAGCCACUCUGACCCUGCAAGCUUCCGGUUAGAAUGAAUGUCAAGCUGUUGCCUUUUACUGAGACAUGCCACAGGCCUGGCACAGACAAAUGCAGAAAGGCAGGAGAAUGAGAAUUAAAAUAACAGCAACUGAGAAUUCAAGUCUAUGAUCUCGAAGAGUCACUCUUGCAGUACAGUGGGGAGGAGAUCUCUUACGCCAGUAGAGCAUCAUCAUUUGCAUAGAUCCAGCAUGUCUCCCUUGGCAGUCUGAUUGGAGGGCAGCACAUAGGAUUCAGAAAUCAUUUAUGUAAUUGUCAGGUGCUUUAGGUACCCUUCAAUUUUGGAGGUGAUAGGAUGAAAAGUCAUGGUGGGGUCAUACAUUUACUGUCAAUUCACUUAAAUUCACAAGCUGAAAAAUCUCACCUCAGUUUUUGGUGGCAAACUCAAAGCAACCAAUCCUAUGACACAGCCCCUUAUAAAGUUUAGUACACAGCAGUGUAAGUUCAGUGAAGCAGAUGUGUAUACUGUAUAGAACUGAGAUCUGUUUUGACUGUUGUGACUAAGGAUAGCGGCAGUUCAAAACAAUCAGGAAACUCAAGAGAUAGGUAUUGUUGGUUUUCUAAUUUGUUGAAAGUUUGCUGGUGUAAUUUUAAAAUAAGUUUUUAGUUUCCAACUUUGAUUUAACCCUUGCAAAUUCAACAAAGAGUAGCACCUACUCCCUGAUUUCCCCUUAUACUCUUCCACACUAGCUACCAGUGACUGUAUCUGACCACCAGGUAGCACUUUCCGACCUUCUGUCAUGCAAAUAACAAUAUGGUAAAUACCAUUAGAAGUAUACAGCAUGUGAAUAAAAAAAAAUUCAGUCUUCAAAGUCUUGAUUUCUAACCAACCAAAUGGACAUCAUUUCAUUUUAUAUAAUUUAAGAAUUCUGGUUCCAUUAAUGCAGCUGGGAUAAGCUACAUAAAUGAAUAAGGCUGUCAGGGUGGAGCAGUUUCCUUUUCUCAAUUCUCCCUUUGUUCUGGUGACCAUGUUCUGGUUCUUUUUGCCUACACUGGAAUUACGCCACAAGGUCUUUGUCUCUCCAGCGCUCUCCACCCUGUUCUAGUUAAUCCUCCCUCUUUGAUCUUUGUUACUUAUUUCUGCACAUGUGGGCUGCUUGCUAAGUCUCUGAUUGUAAGGGGGUAAGCAUUUGUAAGAGUGCAUUAAAGCAACAGAAAGAGCAAUCGGUGAUUUAAUUCUGUAACUGUCUGAUACUGAGUAGAGGAGGUGUUGAUUAUACAGUUGUGGAAAGGGGUUAACUCUCUGAACUGCCUGUUUGAAAAUGUUCUAUAAGAAACAGGCCUUAGAAACAUACAUUUGCUUUUAUUUACAAUCUUCUCAGAUUAAGCUGCAGGUUAAACAGAAGGCAAACUUGAUUAAACUCGGUUGCAAACACUCAGCAUUUAUUCAGCUGUGCUGUAGGAUUGUGGUACAGAAAAUAUUGUGUUGUCAAAUGUCUGUGGCUGAAUAUAACAUCUUUGUGAACAAGGUGCUCUCCUUGUCUUCAUACAUUUUAAUCAAUAAAAAAAUACAUUAAUUAAUAAAAUGUUCUA